CCGAAGCCCUGAUGAAGGGCGGCUUUAACUAUAAGAGUCCUAUGGUGGAAUAUGCGCUGCCAUAGUGAGGUAAAAGUCCUCCGUCAAGUGUCCGCUGCCGAGCGGAUGGAGAUGAAAAUCUGACUAAAUGCUGGAACGACUCAGAAUCCGACAGUACCAGCGAUGGUGACAAUCUGUUCGGUGGAGUUAAUCAGCAGGAAAGACUCUCGUUAGGACCAAUUACAAUUUUUAAAUUUGAAAAAAUUAUUGAAAAUUUAGAAUUGAAAAUUGAAAAUUCCGACGGGAGAAUCCUCACUCACUAUAUGUCAGAGUCCGGCAUUGUGUCGGGCAAGAGAUAGUGGCGUCUGCAUGGCGACAUGCAG
This 362-nucleotide non-coding RNA is filed under the name Microgenomates group bacterium GW2011_GWA2_44_7. RNAcentral also lists the same sequence under 1 other name. The record is from RNAcentral.